GACGAACGCUGGCGGCGUGCCUAAUACAUGCAAGUCGAGCGGGGAUUAUGCUUGAUUGCUUCGGUGAGACGGCAUAUAUCCUAGCGGCGGACGGGUGAGUAACGCGUGGGUAAUCUACCUCGUAGUUCGGGAUAACAGGCCGAAAGGCUUGCUAAUACCGGAUGAGUUCAUGCUUAUGCAUAUAGGCAUGAAGAAAGGGCUAGCCCGCUAUGAGAUGAGCCCGCGUCCCAUUAGCUUGUUGGUGGGGUAAUGGCCUACCAAGGCAACGAUGGGUAGCCGGCCUGAGAGGGUGUACGGCCACACUGGGACUGAGACACGGCCCAGACUCCUACGGGGGGCAGCAGUAGGGAAUUUUCGGCAAUGGGCGAAAGCCUGACCGAGCGACGCCGCGUGAGGGACGAAGGCCUUCGGGUUGUAAACCUCUGUCUGGGGGAUGAGAACGGACGGUACCCCGGAGGAAGCCCGGCUAACUACGUGCCAGCCAGCCGCGGUAAUAGUACUCUAU
This 505-nucleotide ribosomal RNA is filed under the name uncultured bacterium. Its description in RNAcentral is "bacterial SSU rRNA". It matches the Rfam family "Bacterial small subunit ribosomal RNA", at positions 28 to 531 of the family's 1533-position model. The record is from RNAcentral.